RNAcentral lists this long non-coding RNA (1323 nucleotides) under Macaca fascicularis (crab-eating macaque). Its description in RNAcentral is "lncRNA (ENSMFAG00000055795.1)". The record is from RNAcentral. Lineage: Eukaryota; Metazoa; Chordata; Mammalia; Primates; Cercopithecidae.
CCUUGGGCUUUGCCUUAUUCUGUGUAUGGGUAGUAAGUAAUUAGUGCAGCACUGAACGGAAAUGAAUUGUACUGAACGCCAGUGCUACCAAGUUCCACCCCCACUCAUGUUGAAUGGGAUUUGUUUGUUUGUUUUAAUUUUUUGUAGAGACAGGGUCUCACUAUGUUGAACAGGCUGGUCUCAAACCCCUGGCCUUAAGGAAUCCCCCUGCCUUGGCCUCCCAAAGUGCUGGGAUUACAGGCAUGAGCCACCACACCCAGGUUUAAGCUGAUUUUAAUGCUACCUUUAAUACAGAAGAGAAGAAAUAGGCUUUUCAAGAAUAAAAGCCCUCUUUCCCUCUAAAUAUUUCCAGAUUUGAGUUUUCUUAAAGUCGGUGAUAUUAAGUCAGCGACGGACUGCUAUGUCAGAAUAGGACAAGAUGAAAAUGUACCCUCAGUCCAAUCUGUAGUGGCCUAUACGAGAUGGGUUUGUAUAAUGGUGGUCCCUUUCUUUAUGGGGCUGUUUGUAAUAAGGCAAAGCCACUUUGGAUGAUGUAAUAUCCGGUCAUUUCCAUCUGCAGCUCUCACAUGGGUCCUGUAUAGUCCUGCAAAGAGAAAUAACAGUUCUUGUCUAGUGUUACCUCGAAAUAGCUUCAAAAUGUUUGCUGUUUUUUAUAAAAACUUCAACAAAUGUCUAUUGUGCACACGGCUAGAUCAUGAUUUCUGGUUUUGGUUUUGUUUUCACCUCAUUGUUGGUGGGUUCUCUACCCAGGCAGUAAAGUUUUCAUGAGCUUGAGCUCUAGAAUCAGAUAAACUGACUCUCACUUACUUAUGUGAUCUGAGCAGAUUAAUGAAGCUUUGUAAGCCUCAUUUGCUCAUUUGCAAAAUGGCAAAUAUUAGUAGUCCUUCACUUGGAAGGUUGUUGUGAGGAUUUAACACCUGUAAGGAGCUCGGCACUGGGCCUGGGAUUCAGAUAGAAUCCAUCAAAUAGUAACUGUUGUUAUAAUAAACAAGGACAUGUAUCAAGUCCUUAAAUCAGUUACAAGGAACCUAAAAGACUUUCUGCAGCGGUUGAGGGAAUUCUAACACCACUUCUCUUUUCAGCUCACUUCCUUUCUUUUAUCAGCACAUGGAAUUACAUGGCUGUUCUCACCAGCGUGCAUGUUUGUAAGCAGUCUACAGCUCAUGUUGUGAGGGCACAAGAUGGAAGAAGGUCAUGAAACAGACAGAGUGACCCUAAUCCAUAUAGAAAUGACAAAAUAUUCAUGCAGAACCUAUCACUCUUUAAGACUCUAAUGAAAUUCGGCUGAAGGAAAUUACAGUGUGUGAUAAAUGAUAUUGCAUG